This 1032-nucleotide long non-coding RNA is filed under the name Junco hyemalis (dark-eyed junco). RNAcentral describes it as "lncRNA (ENSJHYG00000006179.1)". The record is from RNAcentral. Lineage: Eukaryota; Metazoa; Chordata; Aves; Passeriformes; Passerellidae.
GAAAUCCUCCUGUCGUGACUCUUUUUUAUUUUUUUUAGUGUAAUUAUGUAAUUAAUGCGUUCAGAGCGAGCUGCAGAAGGAGGGACACAUUUUUUAUUUUUUUUAUUAUUAUUGUUAUUAUUAUCAUGACUUAUUUCCUCCCAGGGUUUUUACAGCCUCCCUUAUUUUCAGGGAGAUUGCACAAGGGGCUGUUGUUGUGCAGUUUAUUGCUCUCAGAAGGAAGCUGAGCCCCGAACCUUUGCAAUGACACUCAAAAAGCCCUUUAAUAACAUUUAUUCCUCGGCAGGGACACAACCUGCACCCUUCCUGCAGAGGAAUGGGCUCCACUUUGCUGCCGCUUGGACUCCUCCAGAAAAACAACACCUCCCACACAGCAAAAAUCAUAAUUCAGCCCGGAAUCGCUGUUCCUGCGGUCACGUGUGCCUGGGGAGAGAGAGGAAAAGGCUCCUGAGAGGAAUGAAUUCUGCUGGAGCCUUUGAUGUCUGCGGGAGGAUGGAGCCUGGGUGCUCCCGGCAUGUGGCACCGCACCUGGAAUGCUCCGAGAUGAAAGGGCCGGGAUGCGAUCAGCCCAGAAUGGGAACGCUUCCAAGGGCUGCUCUUUCCCUUUUCCCAUCCUGGUUUCCCAGCUAUUUUCUUCCUUUCCUUUCCUUUCCUUUCCUUUCCUUUCCUUUCCUUUCCUUAGAAUUCCCACAAACUCAGCCGGGUCGCCCUCAGGUUUUCAGCUGCAAAAACCGGACGUGUUUUCCUGAGAGUUUCCACACAAAAAAAAAUCUCAUUUUUCACCCCUCAGAAUGGGUGAGGAAGGAGGGAAAAGGAGCAGCACUUUUCCAGCCCAGGAACCCUCCUUUGAGCCAUCAGCCUGUGCGGAGCCAAUUCCCAAUUUCUGAUUAAAAGAUUAUUAUUAUUAUUAUUACUAAAAGAUUAAAGCCUGCAGCAGCGAGAUUCACACCAGGGCUGCAUUCCCAGCAAGGCCUCAGACAGGCAGGGCUUGAAAUGAGCCAGAGCUCGGGGCUGAUCCGUGAGGGGGUCCCA